This is a long non-coding RNA of Zophobas morio, 710 nucleotides long. RefSeq lists it as uncharacterized. The transcript has 7 exons. Lineage: Eukaryota; Metazoa; Arthropoda; Insecta; Coleoptera; Tenebrionidae. The record is from RefSeq and is a predicted model, not a curated record.
UACAAUAAGAUAGUAUCGGUUUCUAAAGAAUCAUUUAUCGCGCUAACGUCUCUUCGCUCGUUAGUGUUAAGUAAUAACUUGCUCACCUCGCUCGAUCCUUCCUGCUUUCGAGGCCUUUCUAACCUUCGAUAUUUAGACUUGAGUCGAAAUAGGCUAACCUCGUUAGAAGAAGAAGUGCUUAAAAAUCUUACUAAACUUCAAACCUUGUAUCUUGAUCGUAACAGGCUCCAGUCUAUUGCCGCCGGCUCGUUUUCGGCUCUUUCGGCCUUAAGCAAACUAGAUUUGGCUUUCAACUUGCUUUCUGUCGUAAACUGCGAACUACUCGGGAGCCUUAAGAACUUGGAAGGCUUAAUACUCUAUAAAAAUGAAAUUAAAGUAAUUGAAGCGGGCUCCUUUAGAAUGCUUACGGCUUUAACAUACUUAGAAUUACGAGGCAAUGCCAUAACUGAGAUCUGGCCGGACGUAUUCCCGUAUUCUUUUGAUUAUAAGAGUCUGUAAGCAGCGUUUCUGCUCGUUUCGACGGAAAGUCCUUUACGGCAUUGGCACAUGCUUUACAGGAAAAUAACCCUUGACCCCACACUCCUUUGCUGGUCGCGUUGGUUUUACCACGGAAAACUCUCUUUCGAUCAUGAUUAUUGCACGCACCGCGGAGAAAUUAUACCUUGUAGCACUUUUGCCGUGGGAGUAGUUGCAGUGGAUGAAGAUACAAU